UAAACAUUGCCACCGCCAACAGAAACAGUUCCAACAAAUAGAGUAUUGUUCUGCCUACACGAUGUUAUUCUGUUUUAGAUGUGCCAUGGAUGUUCUCUGUCGAUCUCUCUCCUCUGUUUCUUUUCUUAAAAUCACUACUGCCACCUUCUCUUCCCCACCGUCGGAUCCCUAUGAACUAUCUCCUUUAUCGGCGGCUUAUGGUUCAUAUUAGUGGGGAUAGAGGGGGAUUUGAUCAAGCAUAUCAGAUUGUGUUAUUUCACUGCCAUUAGUAACCCCCACCAGAGCACCAUUACAGUUUACCCUUUUCAUUAUCGGCAUCUCUCUUUUUCUCUAAAAAGCCCUAAUUGCCACCACGAAGACCAACUACAUGUAGUUCUUGAUAUGGUUCUACUUGCAACAUAUAUAGAAAUAUUAAGUAGUUUGAAAAUUCUGGUGCUUAUAAUGGUAUGAUUUCACAUCUAUCAUCUAUUAUUUUGACAAAUUCCUUCCUGUUUCUCGGCAUUUCUCCCAUAUCUUUGCGUUUUCUAUUCACAAAUCCAGGAUAUAGUGCCCAUUUGCCUUCGUCGAGUCUUCUAGGGUUCAAUCCAACUUACAAAUUUCUCUUAUCUUCUCUCCACAAACCCUAGAUCGAAUCUCUUAUCUUCUCUCCACAAACCUAGAUCGAAUGUUGCUGCCCCCGUCAUCUACAUCAUAUAAGGCAACACCCACCACUAACACUCUCCUCCUUCUCUCUUCUUAUCCGACAACGUUCACCACCACACACCACCGUAUAAACCACCAUCAUUGAUUUUAUCAAUUUCAUCUAUUUCUAAUUUACAAUUUAACUGGAUUUUCAGGUUCCCGUGAAGCCCGCACUACCAUUACCAUCGAGGUCACUCUCACACUAAUCCAUUCAUCUAAUCAUGUGUAAGUGUGUGUUUAUCUUCUUAAAGUUUCAUAAAUACUUUAUCUCUGGUUGUUAAUUAGUUUUUUGUAUGUAUGUGUGUGUUUAACCUUUGAACAACCAUUUUUGUUUCAGCAAGCCCAUGGAUCUUCUUGGCCACUUUUCAUGGUAAUCCAUAACGUUUUGAGCUCCAUAUCUUAGUUUGGAACUUUUGUUCCCAGAUAUAAAACUAUUUGAUUUACCUCUCGGGUUUCCAGUAAACUUAUUUGUAUUUUGCAGGCUCAAGAAGUCUUUAAUGAAGCUGGAGUAUGUGGAUUCUCGAAAGGCACUUAUGUGACUUUACUUAUGGUAUGUGUCAUAUGUUUGAUUUGGAAACAUAUUGUAAGGAAACAUCUUUAAAUUUGAUUUGGUUUUUGGAAGGACUGUAUGUAUGAUGAAAGGGGGUUAUUGUUGUGUAAAAUUAGAAAAGAAGGAAUUUAAUAAAUUCUUGGUUUGGCAAAUGCACAUGGACCUGCAUAAUCUGGAGGUAAAUGUUAGUGGUCAAAAAUUCUAUUAAUUAAGGGUAUUUGUAUUUGAUGUCAAAUUUAUAUUUUUGUUUGUAUUCUAAAUGUUGGUUGCUUGAGAAGGAUCUCUAAAAAAAACCUUAAACAAGCAUCUUA
This 1542-nucleotide long non-coding RNA is filed under the name Lactuca sativa (garden lettuce). Its description in RNAcentral is "long non-coding RNA (LSAT_LNC004843)". Lineage: Eukaryota; Viridiplantae; Streptophyta; Magnoliopsida; Asterales; Asteraceae. The record is from RNAcentral.